Molecule: non-coding RNA, 484 nt
Organism: Macaca mulatta (Rhesus monkey)
Lineage: Eukaryota; Metazoa; Chordata; Mammalia; Primates; Cercopithecidae
Source: RefSeq, a predicted model, not a curated record
AUCUGCCCACCUUGGCCUCCCAAAGUGCUGGGAUUACAAGUGUGAGCCACCACACCUGACUUCUGGCGCCAUUUUAAAUUGCACUUCAAUUUUUUUUUUUAGUUUCAGUAAGAAUACACAGCUUAAAAAAAAAAUCCAGAUAGUACCAAAAUGCCAAUAAUGAAUAGCGGUACUUUUUUCUAUAAAGUACUUUAAAAUAAUGGUGAAGCUUUAAUUUGUAAAACAUGCAUGCAUUGUUGGAUCAGUCAGACCAGAACUACUUUGGAUACCACAAAAAGGGCACUUCAGCUGCUCACAAAAAAUAUUCGAUGUCUAUGAAAUCAGAGUUUCAGAGCCAGCAGAGCUGCACCAUCCAGGACCUCCAUGUUGGCUGCAAUGUGCUGCGCACAGCCAAGGAGGUUUUUGAGACAUCUGUGGGCAAAACAAAGUGCCCUGCCCUCAAGGGAGCCCACAUUCUAACAGAGCAUAUCGACAUUUUUAAAAG